CUCCCUUCUUCGCCUGUUUCGCCUCCGCGGACCCUGGGCUGGGGAUGUGAGACCGGGCGUCGGCCACGGCGGCGGCGGCGAGAGCAGCGGGGACCAUGGCCCAGGUUCCUUCCCAGGAGAAAUCUAAGCUUGUCAGCGAGACUCGGAGGAGGUUUGAAGCCGAGUAUUUGGCAGAUAAGUCAGAUAAAUAUGAUUCCCGGGAUGUGGAAAAACUACAACAAGAUGAUACUUGGGUUGAAAGUUUUUUGUGUUGGCGACAUGAUGUGGUAGAUGAAACACUGAAGAUGAUUGAUGAAAGUUUUCAGUGGAGGAAAGAAUUUGCUGUCAAUGACCUGAAUGAAUCUACUCUUCCCAAAUGGCUAUUUGAGGUUGGUGCUGUAUAUCUACAUGGAUAUGACAAAGAAGGCAACAAAUUGUUCUGGUUCAGAGUGAAGUUUCAUACAAAAGACAAUAAAACUAUUUUGGACAAAAAGAAGCUUGUAGCCUUCUGGCUAGAACGUUAUGCCAAAAGAGAGAAUGGAAAACCCUUAACAGUGAUGUUUGAUAUGUCAGAAACUGGACUGAGUAACAUAGACAUGGAUAUUGUUCGGUUCAUCAUCAACUGCUUUAAGGUUUAUUAUCCUAAAUACCUCACAAAAAUUGUAGUCUUUGAUAUGCCAUGGAUAAUGAAUGCUGCUUUUAAAAUUGUGAAAGGCUGGCUUGGUCCAGAAGCAGUGAACAUGUUGAAGUUUACUGGUAAAAAUGAAGUGCAGGAGCACGUCAGCAUAGAAUACUUGCCCCCACACAUGGGUGGAACUGAUCCUUUCAAGUAUAGUUAUCCACCCCUAGUGGAUGAUGAUUUUCAAACCCCUUUGUGUGAAAAUGGACCUAUUACUAGUGAGGAUGAAACUGAAAGUAAAGAGGAUAUAGAAACAGAUAAUAAAGAAACUGGGGAAGCAAAUUCCAGUGAAGAACAACUUGUUAUGCCCAGAAAGAUUAGUUCAAUAGAACAAAUUUCCAAAAUAGAAGAGAGUGAUAAAGUGGAUUCAAAGAUAAAAACUUUAAAGAAAUCAUUAAGCAUGUUUAAAGGAGUCCUAUUGCAUAUCAGCCCUGCUGAAGAACUUUAUUUUGGAUCCAAAGAAAUUGGAGAGAAGAAAUGCUUAAUAGUUCUCACAAAUGUAACAAAAAAUGUAGUUGCAUUUAAGGUAAGAACAACAGCUCCAGACAAAUACAGAGUUAAGCCAAGUAAUAGUUGCUGUGACCCUGGUGCAUCAUUAGAUGUAGUGGUGUCUCUUCAUGGGGGUUUCACAAUUUCCCCUCAAGAUCGUUUUCUAAUAAUGGCUGCAGAAAUGGAACAGCCUUGUGGUACAGGGCCAGCAGAUUUGGCACAGUUCUGGAAGGAUGCACCCAGAAACAAAAUAAUGGAACAUAGGUUAAGAUGCCACGUUGAUAGCAGUAAACCAUCUUCUCUUACAUUAAAAGAAAAUUCUUUUAACAUUCCAUCCAAAAGCAGUGAGGACAUACAUUUGCAAAGAUCCUGCUGGUAGGAGUAUUUGUAGAACAACUUUUAAUGAUAACAAAGAACUGGGAACAAAGUAGAAGCCUACUGAUUGAAGAAGGCCAGAUCCAGCCUUUUAGAUUUGUCACUCAAAAGAAAUUGAACCUUGCAAUUUUUACAAUAAAAUAAAUAUUAAGUGCCUACAUCUAUGGGGCAAUUAGGUGGCACAGCGGAUAGUGUAUCAGGCCUGGAAUCAGGAAGAUCCAAGUUCAAAUGCAGCCUCUGGCACAUGCUAUGUGACCUUGUGUAAAUCAUUUAACCGUUUUCCUCGGUUUCAUCAUCUGCAAAAUGAGCUGAAGAAGGAAAUCUUUGCCAAGAAAAUCUCAAAGUGGGUCAUAGAGAAUCAGACAUGAUUGAAAUGAAUGGACAACAGUAACUUGUGUGGAGAGCACAGAUAGGCACUGGUAAAAGUAGAAAAUUUAGUUAAGGGAAGAUCCUUGCUUUCAAGAAACUUAUUGUAUAUUAAAGUGACAAGAUCCAAGGCAAAUAAACAUUCUAUUUUUUUUUAAGUACUUUAGAGAGCUAAAACAUGUUUUGUGAAGUAUGAGUCUUAAUUUCAUUUAUACAAUUUGAAUUCUAGGUACCUGUUUUCUUUGAAAUUCAUAUCACAACCUACUUUUAGAAGCUCCAUCCAAAGUCUGGGAAAUAGAAUAAGUAGAGACAGAAUUGCUGCUACUUAUUGGUAAUUAAUUACCUUUCUAACAUUAUUUAAGCUUCAAGAGACUUUUAAAAGAUUUUUUUAAAAAAUGUAUUUGUUUUCCCUUGGCAACUGUGCUUUGAGCUCAGCUUUUCUUAUUCUUUUGGAAGGUUUUUUUUUGUUUUUGUUUUUUUAAUAAUUUUGAUAAUUUUCUUUUUGUUGAGGAGAGAUACUUUUAUUUCUUUUAACAAAGAUUUAUUCAACAAAUGACAAAAUAGUUGGAGAUUUGAAAUACUUGGAAGUAUCAGUAUACCUGCUAGCAAUGUCAUCUUUGGAAAAACACUGGAAAAACAACAGAUUUUAUUAAUGUCCUGAGCAAAGAUAGCAAAGUCGCCUUGAUAAAUCAUUAGCCUCUCAUUUCAGUUUUCUUGCAUAAAAUGAGCAGAUUAAACUAGCUGAUUUCAAAAUUCUUUCUAACACUAUCUUUAUGUCCUUAUUUUACAGAUGAGAAAGCAAAUACAUUAAUAAAUUAAGUGAUUUCUCCCAAAACUUAAAUAGAAAGUAAACACUACAUCCAGGAGUCAAAUCCAGGUCAUUCCAAAUUAGUGAUCCUCUCAAUUAUAGCAAAUAAAGCUUGCUUUUUUUAUACUAUAAUCAACAGGCUUUUUAAAUAUAGAAUUGAUGGUUGUAUAGUAGGCUAUUCAGUUCAGAUUUUCCCAGAUUUCAGAAUAGAGGGAGAGGAAGGAAUUUAGCUGAGAUUUGAAGGAAGCCAGGGAAGUUGAGGCAAAAACAAUGGGGAGGGAAGUUCCAGAAAUGGAGACAGCCAUGGAAAAUUCAUGUAACCUAGAGAUGGAGUAUUUCGAGUAACAUGUGGUGUAGGGAGAGAAGUUCCAAAAAUGGGGGACAGCCAAUGAAAAUUCAUGGAACCUACAGAUCUUGUGUUUUGAGUUAACAGUAUAUGGCGUAGGGCAGAGCUACUUCAACUUUUUCCACUAACGACCCCUUUCCUCCCCAGAUAUGUAUACAUGACCUAGAUAGUUAUUUAGGUUAUAUAGGUACACAAAUCAAACAUUUACUGACAACAAAUCAUAACUUUACGAGCCCCUCCCACUUUCAAUUGCAAGACCCUAUAUGGAGUCCCUAAUCACAGUUUAAAAAACUGGGACAUAGGGUAAGGUAAAAAGCCACAUAGGGAAAUGUAGGUCUGUAAAAGCUAAACAGAAUUUUUUACAUAUAUGGAGGAAUAGGGAGAAACUGAAAUUUGUUAAUAGUAGGAAAGGAGGUGACUUUGUCAGAUCUAUGUCUAUUUUAAGAUUGUCAGUUCGAUGAUUGGAUAGAGGACAGACCAGAACAGAAAAAGACUGGAUAGAGGAAGGCCAGGCAGCAGGAUAUUGCAGUAGUUUAGGUUAUGAAGAGUCCCCCUGAACCAAGUUAGUGCAAGUCAAAGGAAAGAAGAAAGUAUAUAACAAUUUAUUGGAUAAGGGGUUUCAGGCGUAAAAAAGUAAGGGGUUAAGGAUGAGAACGAAGGAAUGUGGUAGGAUCUCGAAUAAUAAAAUUAGAAAGAGGGAAAGUUAUAUAAAGUGAAAAUACUUAGAAAAGGAUAAUUGUCAGUGGCAGAAGGAUGAAGACUGGGAAAAGAAUUCAAUUUUGCAAUCAAAGAUCAUUGGAACUUUGGAGAAAAUAGUUGAAUGAGAGAUCAGAAGCUAGAUUACAAAGAUUUAAGAAGAUAAUAAAUUUUUUUUAAAAUUGGAUGCACCAAAUAUAGACAGCUUCCUCAAGGAGUUAAUUAUAAAGGGAGGGGAAAUAUGGAAGGCUAGCUGAAUUAGAUGAGAGGUUUUGAGAAUGGAAAAGAAAUGGUUGUUUUUAUAGACAAUAUGCAAAUUACCAGGAGAUAGGACAAGAUUGAAAAUUGGUGAAAAAGUAGGAAUGAUAGAGCAACGGGUCAGAGAAGACAGAGAUGAUUGUGUUGUUAAGAAGAGGCAUUUUGUUAUAUAAGAUGGAAAGAAGAUAGUAAUAGGAGUCAUCUGAUUGUUGUGAAAUGAUGUCAAGGACAAGAGGGAACACAAUGAAGAAAAAGUUUUUAAUGAGAUAAAGUUCUCAAUCUUGAGAGGUGGGAAGAAUGCUAUAAGAUUUGAGAAGUAAUGAAAAGUUUAGAAUAACCUCAGCAGUAAGUGUCACGAUGGCAUAGAGAAUAUAAAAGAAUUGCCUUGCUACAUUGAGGACCUAAUUGAAAUUAUAGAAAAAAAAUUUUUUUUUGGAGAAACCAGUCAGCCAUGCCUUUGUGAUUUUAUUAAGUUUUAUUCAGCAUCAUGUGAGUAGGGGGGUGAAAGUAAUAGAUGAUGGGAGCAGUCCAAAUUUGGCAGGACAAAAUCUUUAAUAGAGUAAGUGGUCAUUUGAGAGAUGGCAGUGUAGAAUUCAACUGAUUCACCCCAUGUGUCAAGAUGGGGAAGAAAAGAGAAAGUAGCAGAGAUUGGGGGGGGGGGGGCUACAGGAUGGGUUAAAGUGUUAUAAUGAGGGCAAAGGAGAGAGUUUGGGUGGAUAGGUCAUAUGAUAACAGGUUAUAAUGAGGUAAAAGGAUUUCAAAGUUCAUGCAUAUAUGGAUAUAGAACUUUAAUGAGGAUAUGACCAUCAUGUGUAGAUGUGAGUCUAUGGAGAAUAAAU
Molecule: RNA transcript, 4835 nt
Organism: Sarcophilus harrisii (Tasmanian devil)
Lineage: Eukaryota; Metazoa; Chordata; Mammalia; Dasyuromorphia; Dasyuridae
Gene: MOSPD2
Gene name: motile sperm domain containing 2
Exons: 16
Source: RefSeq, a predicted model, not a curated record